CCUACGGGAGGCAGCAGUCGAGAAUCAUUCACAAUGGGGGAAACCCUGAUGGUGCGACGCCGCGUGAAGGAAGAAGGCUUUCGGGUUGUAAACUUCUUUUAAGAGGGAAGAGCAGAAGACGGUACCUCUUGAAUAAGCCACGGCUAACUACGUGCCAGCAGCCGCGGUAAUACGUAGGUGGCAAGCGUUGUCCGGAUUUACUGGGUGUAAAGGGCGUGCAGCCGGGAAGACAAGUCAGAUGUGAAAUCCCGCGGCUCAACCGCGGAACUGCAUUUGAAACUGUUUUUCUUGAGUACCGGAGAGGUCAUCGGAAUUCCUUGUGUAGCGGUGAAAUGCGUAGAUAUAAGGAAGAACACCAGUGGCGAAGGCGGAUGACUGGACGGCAACUGACGGUGAGGCGCGAAAGCGUGGGGAGCAAACAGGAUUAGAUACCCCUGUAGUC
RNAcentral lists this ribosomal RNA (442 nucleotides) under uncultured bacterium. RNAcentral's name for it is "partial 16S ribosomal RNA". It matches the Rfam family "Bacterial small subunit ribosomal RNA", at positions 338 to 795 of the family's 1533-position model. The record is from RNAcentral.